RNAcentral lists this ribosomal RNA (706 nucleotides) under uncultured bacterium. RNAcentral's name for it is "partial 16S ribosomal RNA". It matches the Rfam family "Bacterial small subunit ribosomal RNA", at positions 125 to 851 of the family's 1533-position model. The record is from RNAcentral.
CCUGCCCCCUCCCCCGGGAUAGCCGCCCGAAAGGACGGGUAAUACCGGAUACCCCCGGGCGCCGCAUGGCGCCCGGGCUAAAGCCCCGACGGGAGGGGAUGGCUCCGCGGCCCAUCGGGUAGACGGCGGGGUGACGGCCCACCGUGCCGACAACGGGUAGCCGGGUUGAGAGACCGACCGGCCAGAUUGGGACUGAGACACGGCCCAGACUCCUACGGGAGGCAGCAGUGGGGAAUCUUGCGCAAUGGGGGGAACCCUGACGCAGCGACGCCGCGUGCGGGACGGAGGCCUUCGGGUCGUAAACCGCUUUCAGCAGGGAAGAGUCAAGACUGUACCUGCAGAAGAAGCCCCGGCUAACUACGUGCCAGCAGCCGCGGUAAUACGUAGGGGGCGAGCGUUAUCCGGAUUCAUUGGGCGUAAAGCGCGCGUAGGCGGCCCGGCAGGCCGGGGGUCGAAGCGGGGGGCUCAACCCCCCGAAGCCCCCGGAACCUCCGCGGCUUGGGUCCGGUAGGGGAGGGUGGAACACCCGGUGUAGCGGUGGAAUGCGCAGAUAUCGGGUGGAACACCGGUGGCGAAGGCGGCCCUCUGGGCCGAGACCGACGCUGAGGCGCGAAAGCUGGGGGAGCGAACAGGAUUAGAUACCCUGGUAGUCCCAGCCGUAAACGAUGGACGCUAGGUGUGGGGGGACGAUCCCCCCGUGCCGCAG